GCCAGUGUGGUUCAGUGGUAGAUUGUUCGCCUGUGCAACGAAGGAUUGCAGGUUCGAUUCCUGGUCAAGGGCA
Molecule: transfer RNA, 73 nt
Filed under: Myotis lucifugus (little brown bat)
Lineage: Eukaryota; Metazoa; Chordata; Mammalia; Chiroptera; Vespertilionidae
Rfam family: tRNA
About the family: Transfer RNA (tRNA) molecules are approximately 80 nucleotides in length.
Source: Rfam by way of RNAcentral